RNAcentral lists this ribosomal RNA (757 nucleotides) under uncultured bacterium. RNAcentral describes it as "bacterial SSU rRNA". It matches the Rfam family "Bacterial small subunit ribosomal RNA", at positions 57 to 809 of the family's 1533-position model. The record is from RNAcentral.
GCAGUCGACGGCAGCACGGGAGCAAUCCUGGUGGCGAGUGGCGAACGGGUGAGUAAUAUAUCGGAACGUGCCCAGUCGUGGGGGAUAACGUAGCGAAAGCUACGCUAAUACCGCAUACGAUCUACGGAUGAAAGCGGGGGACUCGCAAGAGCCUCGCGCGAUUGGAGCGGCCGAUAUCAGAUUAGGUUGUUGGUGAGGUAAAAGCUCACCAAGCCUGCGAUCUGUAGCUGGUCUGAGAGGACGACCAGCCACACUGGAACUGAGACACGGCCCAGACUCCUACGGGAGGCAGCAGUGGGGAAUUUUGGACAAUGGGCGCAAGCCUGAUCCAGCCAUGCCGCGUGCGGGAAGAAGGCCUUCGGGUUGUAAACCGCUUUUGUCAGGGAAGAAAUCCUUUGAGCUAAUACCUCGGAGGGAUGACGGUACCUGAAGAAUAAGCACCGGCUAACUACGUGCCAGCAGCCGCGGUAAUACGUAGGGUGCGAGCGUUGUCCGGAAUUAUUGGGCGUAAAGAGCUUGUAGGCGGUUUGUCGCGUCUGCCGUGAAAAUCCGGGGCUCAACCCCGAACUUGCAGUGGAUACGGGCAGACUAGAGUGUGGUAGGGGAGACUGGAAUUCCUGGUGUAGCGGUGAAAUGCGCAGAUAUCGGGAGGAAUACCGAUGGCGAAGGCAGGUCUCUGGGCUGACACUGACGCUCAUGCACGAAAGCGUGGGGAGCAAACAGGAUUAGAUACCCUGGUAGAAUCACUAGUGAAUUC